RNAcentral lists this ribosomal RNA (483 nucleotides) under uncultured bacterium. RNAcentral describes it as "bacterial SSU rRNA". It matches the Rfam family "Bacterial small subunit ribosomal RNA", at positions 30 to 518 of the family's 1533-position model. The record is from RNAcentral.
UGAACGCUGGCGGCGUGCUUAACACAUGCAAGUCGAACGCUGAAGCUCCCAGCUUGCUGGGGGUGGAUGAGUGGCGAACGGGUGAGUAUCACGUGAGUAACCUGCCCUUGACUCUGGGAUAAGCCCGGGAAACUGGGUCUAAUACUGGAUAGGACUGGCCAUCGCAUGGUGGUUGGUUGAAAGCUUUUGCGGUUUUGGAUGGACUCGCGGCCUAUCAGCUUGUUGGUGGGGUAAUGGCCUACCAAGGCUUUGACGGGUAGCCGGCCUGAGAGGGUGACCGGCCACACUGGGACUGAGACACGGCCCAGACUCCUACGGGAGGCAGCAGUGGGGGAUAUUGCACAAUGGGCGCAAGCCUGAUGCAGCGACGCCGCGUGAGGGAUGACGGCCUUCGGGUUGUAAACCUCUUUCAGUUGGGAAGAAGCCUUUCGGGGUGACGGUACCUCCAGAAGAAGCACCGGCUAACUACGUGCCAGCCGCCGC